GGUGGCUAUGGUGAAGCGGUUAACACAAACGACUGUGACUCGUUCAUACGUGGGUUCGAAUCCCACUAGCCACCCCA
Molecule: transfer RNA, 77 nt
Filed under: Geotalea daltonii FRC-32
Lineage: Bacteria; Pseudomonadati; Thermodesulfobacteriota; Desulfuromonadia; Geobacterales; Geobacteraceae
Description: Geobacter daltonii FRC-32 tRNA-His
Rfam family: tRNA
About the family: Transfer RNA (tRNA) molecules are approximately 80 nucleotides in length. Their secondary structure includes four short double-helical elements and three loops (D, anti-codon, and T loops).
Source: RNAcentral